This 486-nucleotide ribosomal RNA is filed under the name uncultured bacterium. RNAcentral describes it as "partial 16S ribosomal RNA". It matches the Rfam family "Bacterial small subunit ribosomal RNA", at positions 28 to 507 of the family's 1533-position model. The record is from RNAcentral.
GAUGAACGCUGGCGGCGUGCCUAAUACAUGCAAGUCGAACGCUGGAAAUCUAGCUUGCUAGAUUGAAGGAGUGGCGAACGGGUGAGUAAUACAUAAGCAACCUACCCACGAAGACUGGGAUAAUCUCUGGAAACGGGGACUAAUACCGGAUAGGUAAUCGGAAGGCAUCUUCUGAUUAUUAAAGGUUAAAAACACUGGUGGAUGGGCUUAUGGCGCAUUAGUUAGUUGGUGAGGUAACGGCCCACCAAGACGAUGAUGCGUAGCCGGCCUGAGAGGGUGAACGGCCACAAUUGGAAUGGGGACCCGCCCAAGCUCCCUCCGGAGGCAAGAAUAAGGAAAUUUCCGGAAUGGGGGAAACCCUUACCGAGCCACGCCGCGUUGGUUAAUGCCGCCUUCCGGGUUUUAAGCCCUUUUGGUAAGGAAAAACCGUAAGUAAAGAAUUUCUUAAUUGCGGUACCCUACCAGAAAGCCACGGCUAACUACGUG